AUGAUGCAAGGCAAUGAAAUCGCCCCUUGUGUGAAAUAGCUCCGUGAACACUCUCCUGAAGAGCGCCAUUUCAUGUAUUUCAUUCCUCCUGUCCAGCAGUAAACAAUGCAGUUAUCCCAUUCGAGUUGGACGAUACUUCUUUUCUCCAUUUUGAUUACAACAUCUAUAGGAGCUCCUCUACGAGAUAGAUUAUGGAGUGAAACCUGCACCCCCUAACAUGCCAUUCUGGAUGCGAUCUAAGAAGGAAGGAGUCUAUCGGCCCGAUCUGGAGGAGUUCUGGUAGCCUUCAGCGACAUGGCCUCUUCAGUUACAGUCAAUGAAGAAUAAACUAAUCAGUUCAUUCAUUUAACUGUGC
Long non-coding RNA from Clupea harengus (Atlantic herring), 355 nucleotides. Lineage: Eukaryota; Metazoa; Chordata; Actinopteri; Clupeiformes; Clupeidae. The record is from Ensembl.